Molecule: ribosomal RNA, 465 nt
Filed under: Vreelandella stevensii
Lineage: Bacteria; Pseudomonadati; Pseudomonadota; Gammaproteobacteria; Oceanospirillales; Halomonadaceae
Description: partial 16S ribosomal RNA
Rfam family: Bacterial small subunit ribosomal RNA
Source: RNAcentral
CCUACGGGGGGCUGCAGUGGGGAAUAUUGGACAAUGGGCGAAAGCCUGAUCCAGCCAUGCCGCGUGUGUGAAGAAGGCCUUCGGGUUGUAAAGCACUUUCAGUGGGGAAGAAAGCCUUGGGGCUAAUACCCUCGAGGAAGGACAUCACCCACAGAAGAAGCACCGGCUAACUCCGUGCCAGCAGCCGCGGUAAUACGGAGGGUGCGAGCGUUAAUCGGAAUUACUGGGCGUAAAGCGCGCGUAGGCGGUCUGAUAAGCCGGUUGUGAAAGCCCCGGGCUCAACCUGGGAACGGCAUCCGGAACUGUCAGGCUAGAGUGCAGGAGAGGAAGGUAGAAUUCCCGGUGUAGCGGUGAAAUGCGUAGAGAUCGGGAGGAAUACCAGUGGCGAAGGCGGCCUUCUGGACUGACACUGACGCUGAGGUGCGAAAGCGUGGGUAGCAAACAGGAUUAGAUACCCCGGUCGUC